Molecule: ribosomal RNA, 432 nt
Filed under: uncultured bacterium
Lineage: Bacteria
Description: partial 16S ribosomal RNA
Rfam family: Bacterial small subunit ribosomal RNA
Source: RNAcentral
AACGAACGCUGGCGGCAUGCCUAACACAUGCAAGUCGAACGAGACCUUCGGGUCUAGUGCGCACGGGUGCGUAACGCGUGGGAACCUGCCCUUAGGUUCGGAAUAACUCCCCGAAAGGGGUGCUAAUACCGGUUAAUGUCUUCGGACCAAAGAUUUAUCGCCUUUGGAUGGGCCCGCGUUGGAUUAGCUAGUUGGUAGGGUAAAAGCCUACCAAGGCGACGAUCCAUAGCUGGUCUGAGAGGAUGAUCAGCCACACUGGGACUGAGACACGGCCCAGACUCCUACGGGAGGCAGCAGUGGGGAAUAUUGGACAAUGGGCGAAAGCCUGAUCCAGCAAUGCCGCGUGAGUGAUGAAGGCCUUAGGGUUGUAAAGCUCUUUUACCCGGGAUGAUAAUGACAGUACCGGGAGAAUAAGCUCCGGCUAACUCCGUG